This is a long non-coding RNA of Triticum aestivum (bread wheat), 2893 nucleotides long. RefSeq lists it as uncharacterized. Lineage: Eukaryota; Viridiplantae; Streptophyta; Magnoliopsida; Poales; Poaceae. The transcript is spliced from 3 exons. The record is from RefSeq and is a predicted model, not a curated record.
UUUGCCGGGUGUCUGAGUGAAGCAAGCGGCGCCGCUUCAGCCCCCACUUCUCCCUUCUCUCACGAUCUCUGCGACGGCGUCCGCUCGCCGCCGUGAUGGUAUCCCCGUGCCCGAGGAUUCACCCAUAGACAUCUGCCUCCCGUUCGCCUCCUACGAAUACUAAUCUGGUCCAUCGUCUUACUGGAUUUGAGACUGCAGUAUCAACAUACGCCUUCCCUUUCCCUCUCUCUGCUUGGUUCUCUUCCCGGUUAUUGCAGAUCCGUGUCUCCGCCACCGGUGUUCUUCACGGAUGUUGAUCAAGUCCACACUGCCAUCCCCGCCUCUAGGUUGCUUCCCUUUCUCCACGCCACCGCGGCCGCUCCAGGUCGCUCCGCUGCCGUUUCCGUAACGCUCCUCCCCAUACUUCAUCCCAUCGCUGGUCCUCAUCCCCAUCCCCGGCGGCGCCCUAGAUGGAGGUCGGCAGCAGGUAUACCUAUGGCGGCCGUGCCCAGCAGUAUCCACGGCGGCACAGGUAUCCUCCCCGUCCUCCUUCUCCUAUCCUUUCUCCUCCGCGUACGACCCUCGUCCGCCGCGUCCCACGCACCUCCACAAUUGCGGGAUCCAUGGUGGCGCCCAGCGGGAUUCAUGUAGGCGCGGCCACCAUAGCCCAGCCCCCUCCACCGUGCCCCCCUUCCUCCCGUCCUAGCCCUUCUUCCCUUUACUAUUUGCUAUAGAACAAAAGGGAUGUUCAUGUGUGACUGAUCCACGCCAUCUGCUAUAGAACAAAAGGGAUGUUGUGGUCACAAUCUUGAAUGUAAUGCCCAAUCCUUCUAAUCACAAAUAAGCUUUGUUAAAUUUUUGAUAUAUUUCUUUGUAUUGUGAGUUUAUUCGUUCUGGAGUUGGAUAUUGAUGAACCUCAUGCCAGCACACCAGGCAAAUGAUUAUGUUUCUUGAUGAUGCUUCUAUAUUACUAGCAACUGAGGACAUUUGUAAUAUCGCGAUCUUCUCUUUGCAGAAUGCGGAGAGAUACACAAACCUGUAGAGGAUGGAGGAAGUGACUCGGUGGUCAACUAAUAGCUAGCACACAAGCAUGCUUGAUAUUUCCUGAUCUAUUUGUACGUGUUUGAUGUGUAGGCAUUGAGGCACAUGCAAAACAGGUGAGCAAUGAGCCCGAGCAGCUUGCCAAAGACUCACAUGGCUUGGAUAUGCAAUUGCUUGAUAUUGUUUUCAUCCCAUGGAAGCUCUUGUGGCCUAAUGGGCAAGUACCACCAAAUGUGAUUACUUAUGUGCUGCCUAUGACCAUCUAAUUGAAACCCCAAUGGAAAAUUUCAAGGAUUAUAUCAAGGUAUAUGUUCGACUCUUUAUGUUCAUUUUGAAUUUCUCAUAUUUUACGAUGAAGGUUUUUAUACGUAAUUCUCUGAUUACGCUCUGCAAACAUGCAUUGGUUGUCAAUAUGUUAGCUGUCCACACUAACAACUUACCUUAGUAGUGCACUUCUAUGUAAUAACAUCAAUGCUGCUGGCCAGGUCCUUUCAUCUGGACCCAUCAGUUUUCCAUAUCUCAAGAAAUCUAAACAUUAAGUUUUCAAACUUGAGUAACUGAAUUUCGUUUGUCCAAAUGAGAAUUGUGUAAGUCGUACAGACUUCCUGUGAUUUCUUUACCCAACUCAUCUUACAGAUUUCUUUACACUGAUGCUAGCAUCACACAGGAGGUUGUUCAUGUAAUCAAAAAGUGCUACAAGAAUCUAAAGCCCAAUUGAAAUCAUUUUUUUACCCAAAAUGCAACUAAGCUGCAGCUUCUUUUCGGCAGCUCUACACAUGUUGAUACUCUCCUACCAAAGCUGGUGUACUAAGAAUUAGUGAGUACUGCUAAACAUGCAGUGUGUUAUAUCUAAGUUAGUUGCAUGCCAUGUUGAGUACUUGCUUUCGUGGUUCUUAAUUUCAGGAUUUGUUGCCUGGUUCUAUAAUUUUUUGGAUGAUACUAUUGAGAUGCAGCCGUGUCACUUUGCCCCUAAUAUUUCUACACAUCUUUAUUUUCUCUACCUGUGUGCUUCUAUUCUGUGUGACUCAAAUGUCUAAACAUUGUUGUCUUAGUUCUGGCCAAGGAAAAUUCAGAUUAUUGUCAUCUAAGGCUGUGUUCAGCAACCCUCCACUCCUCUGUCACGGAGCGGAGCGGGCGGAGCAUCGUCUUAGCUGCUCUAUAAAUUACAACUGGAUGCCGCUCUGCUCUGGAACAGAGUUGCAGAGACGGAGGGAGUCCGAACAGGCUCUAAGUGAUCUCUAUGUUAGCUUCAAGGUUAGCCUUAAUAGUCAAUGGGAGGUUUAUCCCAAAUAAUAAAAUGUAGAUAUGGAAAAUGGAAAUAUAGUAGAUCUUGUUUGUUUAGGUAAGCAAUGUUAUGAUUUGAAUACCUAAAGUAUUCAAGUCCAAGGUUGUUUUAUGUGUAGGCUUACUCAAGUGUAAUCAUCAUCUAUGUUUAUGAACAUGAUUUUCAAAUUUCAGUAAGUUUGGAAAGGCUACAAUGGUUGCUCAGAGUAAGUUUUGCAUUGGUGUUAUACUGUUAGUACAUUGGCAUGUAGAAUAUUUUGUCUUGUGAUGUGUAUUAAAUCACAUUUCCUUCCUCUUCUGCUAUAUUGCAGGGUUCAAGGCUUCCUGACAAGUAACCAUAACCAUUGUUCAGGUAACUCCUGAACUGCUUGUUGCUCUUGAGUAAAGUGAUGCCAAAGGAUCAAGGGUGUUUCUCAAUCAAGAGCUAUUAGUUACCUUGACCAUGUUGCAUCUCUUCUGAUUUCUUCAGUUAAAAGGUCAUCGAUUGCUGAAUUGUGCCUUCAAUGCUACAAUGGAUUAUGAUUUGUAUAUCGGUAAUGCAUAUAAAUGAAUUCUGUCAGUAAAUGUGGACAAAUGAAUUCCACAACUA